Molecule: RNA transcript, 3071 nt
Organism: Lycium ferocissimum
Lineage: Eukaryota; Viridiplantae; Streptophyta; Magnoliopsida; Solanales; Solanaceae
Gene name: putative lysine-specific demethylase JMJ16
Exons: 13
Source: RefSeq, a predicted model, not a curated record
CUUAAGUACAAAGGGGUUUGUGUUUUUUCUUCUCUAUACAAACCCCCUUUUCUCCAUUUUCAACACAACAAGUUCUGCUAAUUACUCUUUUUCAGUACAAAUCAAAGAUUAAGGAGAAUCUUAUAACACUGCAACUCCUUUUAGGUUAGUCUGAAGUUCUCACAGACGGAUGUCUGAUUGUACUUGACAGAGCUAUAAAGGCGAAGUUAAGAGUGCUAAUGGGGGCCAAGCGCACAAGAUCACAGGGUGAAAGUGACGACAGGAAAAAGUUCUCUAUUCCACCCGGUUAUGAAUCGUUAACGUCCUUCACACUAAAGAUGGUUGAAAAUAGUCAGGAAGGUCCUAGCCAGGUUGCUUCUACUUCAACAAUUAUUAGCACAGGAAAGCUUAAGAGUUCUGUUAGGCGUAGGCCUUGGAUACUUGAUGAUCAUGUUGAUCACAUGGAAGAGGAUCCUGAAUGUGAAGCUGAUAAGAGUUCGUCUUCACGUGCUUGUCUUCCCAAAGGAGUGAUCCGAGGAUGUUACCGUGGUCACAACUGCGAGAAGGUUGUUGCAAGAUGUCGUCCGGAAUUAGCACGGAUCCCUUCACUUGAUGAGGCUCCUGUAUUCCAUCCCACUAAAGAGGAGUUUGAAGAUACCCUCAAGUAUGUCGCAAGCAUCCUUCCACAUGUCAAGCACUACGGAAUAUGCCGUAUUGUUCCUCCUGCUUCCUGGACCCCACCUUGCCGCAUUGAAGAAGAGGCCACGAGGUAUGGAGUCGACACCCGUAUCCAGCGCAUUAGUGACCUCCAGAGUGUGUUUUUCAAGAAAAUGAAGACGAAUAAUAGACAGCAAAAAAUCCUAAGCAUGGAACUUAAAGAAUUUGGUAGCUGUAAUGAACACUUUGAACUUGAAAGUGGGCCCAAGUUUAAGCUGAAAUCUUUCAAGAAUUACGCUAAUUAUUUCAAGAGGCAGUACUUUGUCAAGAAUUCCCCAUCUAUUCCUGAUAUUGAAGGGGAAUACUGGAGGAUUAUUGAGAAUCCAACUGAAGAAAUCGAGGUGCUCCAUGGGAAUAUUAUGGAAACUAGUGCAAGUGGGUUUCCACAUAAAACGAAUCCACGGGAUGUAACUGAAUGUCCACAAUAUGUGGAAUCUGGUUGGAACUUAAACAAUACCCCUAAGCUUCAAGAUUCUCUUCUACGCUUUGAAAGUUGUAACAACUCCUCUAUUUUGCUUCCCCGGCUCUCCAUCGGAAUGUGUUUUUCAUCAAAUCACUGGAGAAUUGAAGAGCAGCACUUAUAUUUGCUAUCCUACAUACAUUUUGGUGCCCCGAAAAUAUUUUAUGGGGUUCCCGGGAGUUAUCGUUGCAAGUUUGAGGAAGCUGUCAAGAAGCAUCUGCCACAGUUGUCAGUACAUCCUUGUUUGCUUCACAACCUUGCCACUCAAUUCUCGCCUUCUAUAUUGACUUCAGAGGGUAUACCUGUUUAUCGUUGUGUGCAAAAACCAAAGGAGUUUGUUCUCAUUCUCCCUGGAGCAUACCAUGCGGAUUUCGAUAGUGGAUUUAAUUGUUAUGAAGCAGUAAAUUUUGCUCCCUUUGACUGGUUACCACAUGGUCAGAUUGCUGUCGAACGGUAUUGUGAGAAGGGGAGAAAGACAUCAAUCUCCCAUGAUAAGCUGCUGUUUGAAGCAGCCACAGAAGCAAUUAGGGCUUUAGGAGAACUUGCACUGUGGAACAAGAAUUCUUUUGAUAAUUUAAAAUGGAGAGCAGUCUGUCAGAGCAAUGGGAUUUUAACAAAUGCACUUAAGACACGGGUUGCCACUGAAGUGAGAAGACGCAAAUAUGUGUGUGCUUCUCUUGAAUCGCAAAAGAUGGAGGAUGACUUUCGUGCUACGACCAAACGGGAGUGCGCUAUAUGCUUCUAUGAUCUAUACCUUUCGGCCAUUGGCUGCAAAUGUUCUCCACAUAAAUAUACUUGUCUUCUUCAUGCCAAGCAGCUUUGUGCUUGUGCUUGGAGCGAGAAGUAUUUGCUUAUACGGUAUGGAAUAGAUGAGUUGAACAUCAUGGUUGAUGCUUUGGAUGAGAAGGUAAGUGCAGUUCAUAAGUGGGCAAAAGAAAAACUUGGAUUGCCUGUGUCCGACGUCUCUAAAGAUGCCAGCAAGGAUGGAUGUACGGUACCUCCUUUUGAAAUGGUGAAGGUACCUGUGAUUUUUGAUGUGGGACUCUCUGAGAGUAUGUCUCACCGUUUAACCUCCGGACGAACAUCAUAUAUUCAACAGGAUCAGAAAAAUAAUUUGGAUCCAAUAUCUUGUUCGUCUGUUGGUUCAGAUGCAUUGACUCAUCGAUCACAAUCGAAAGAAAAUGGUCAAGAUGAGAAUAAAGUUUUAUUGCCAAAAAUAUCACAGCAUACUGCUGUUGGAGAAAAUAUUGCGACUUCUUCCAAUGCAGUUCGCAAGAAGCAUCUUGCUCGGGAGUCUUCGUCUAUUGAAAAAAAUGUGAUUAUUCUGAGUGAUGAUGAAGAUUAGCAACCCCAAGUUUACUGUAUCAUGAAUGGUAAUUUGCAUUUACGGUAUAUUCAUUCAAGGUAUCAAAUACUCUUGCUAAUAUUUGUCAGUUCUAUGGUUAAUGCAAGAGUUUGAAAGAAUCACUGGGAACGUUGUCAAACCACAUGCAGGGGAUCCAUCGAUAUUGGUGAAUCAAGUGAGUAUGUCGUAGGACGAGAAGAAGCACUUCCUUCUAUAAAUGAAUUUUAAACAAAAUCAGUGCAUAUUUUUCCUUGGAGAUCCUGCAACCACAAUGAAGAAAAAGAAAAGAUCAAACUUUUCCAUUUGAUUUCUUAAAACUUAUUUAUAAAUUUUUUUUGUCACUUAAAUUUGCCUCCCAGCCUUGUAAAACGCGUGGGUGGUAGCUGGUAGUUCUCCUAUUUGUUGGCUCGGUUUGGCAGCUUCAUAUCCAUUAUGAAAUUGUACAAAUUGGGUGAGUUUUUCUCCAACUCAUACAUCUACAAAGUUCACGGUGACUUAUUUUGAUUUUGUCAAUAGAUAGAAGUAGAAAACAUGCCAGGUUUUUCCUCUAUAUAUUUUGAUUUCUAUGCU